AUAAUACUCCAUAGAUUAGAGAUACUGGAAUGUUCUUUAGUCAAAAGUUCCGGCGCCUUAGGAUGGAUCUGCGGUCGAUUAGGUUGUUGUUGGGGUAACGGCCCAACAAGCCUGUAAUCGAUACGGGUUGUGGGAGCAAGAGCCCGGAGAUGGAAUCUGAGACACGAUUCCAGGCCCUACGGGGCGCAGCAGGCGCGAAAACUUUACAAUGCAGGAAACUGUGAUAAGGGAACUCCGAGUGCCCGUAUACGCGGGCUGUCCAGGUGUUUAAAAAUCAUCUGAAGAAAGGGCCGGGCAAGACCGGUGCCAGCCGCCGCGGUAAUACCGGCGGCUCGAGUGGUGGCCACUAUUAUUGGGCUUAAAGCGUCCGUAGCUGGACCGAUAAGUCUCUUGGGAAAUCCGCCGGCUCAACCGGCGGGCGUCUAAGGGAUACUGUUAGUCUAGGGACCGGGAGAGGUGAGAGGUACUCCGGGGGUAGGAGUGAAAUCCUGUAAUCCCCGGGGGACCACCGAUGGCGAAGGCAUCUCACCAGAACGGCUCCGACAGUGAGGGACGAAAGCUGGGGGAGCGAACCGGAUUAGAUACCCGGGUAGUCCCAGCCGUAAACUAUGCGCGUUAGGUGU
This 623-nucleotide ribosomal RNA is filed under the name uncultured archaeon. RNAcentral's name for it is "bacterial SSU rRNA". It matches the Rfam family "Archaeal small subunit ribosomal RNA", at positions 146 to 774 of the family's 1478-position model. The record is from RNAcentral.